Cucumis sativus (cucumber) is the source of this 3236-nucleotide RNA transcript. It is a transcript of the gene named N-glycosylase/DNA lyase OGG1, with no coding region annotated. The transcript is spliced from 4 exons. NCBI's taxonomy places the organism in Eukaryota, Viridiplantae, Streptophyta, Magnoliopsida, Cucurbitales, Cucurbitaceae. The record is from RefSeq and is a predicted model, not a curated record.
UCGUUGAUGGUCAGUAUUUGAGGGAAUGCACCGCUCAUAACCCUCCAAAUGCCUUCAUUGUCAUUCAAACCCCUUCUUCUAAUGACGAAGAGGCUCAAACCCACUCCUCCCUCCACUCCCUCCACCAAGCCAUCGCCACCGCCUCCAUCUCCUCCUACUCCUCAACUCUCCCAUUCAAAACCAACCACUGUCUCCCUCCACCACUCGUCCAAAAACCCAAACAAAACCCUACCUCUCCUCAAAUCCCCCCAAUCCCCAUCAUCCUCCAACUGGGUCUCUCUAAAUCUCACCAGAUCAGACCUCUCUUUGCCUCUCACUUUCCCCACCGGCCAAACCUUCCGUUGGAAACAAACCAACCCCUUUGAGUUCACCGGCGUCGUUGGCUCUCAUCUCAUCUCUCUCAACCAUCUUCCAAACGGCGACGUUUCAUAUUGCCUUCACUUUUCUUCUACAUCCUCCUCCGCCGCCGCCAGAUUGGCAUUACUUGAUUUUCUUAAUGCCAGCAUCUCCCUGAGCUCCAUUUGGGAGGUAUUCUCGGCGGCUGAUCCGAGAUUCGAUGCGUUGGCUCGCCAUUUUGAGGGGGCUCGAGUUCUCAGGCAAGACCCACUUGAAUGUUUGAUUCAGUUUUUGUGUUCUUCCAAUAAUAAUAUUGGGAGAAUCACCAAAAUGGUGGAUUACAUCUCAUCACUUGGGAAUUAUUUGGGUAAUGUUGGAGGUUUUGAUUUCUAUGAAUUCCCUUCUUUGGAGAGGCUGUCCUUGGUCUCUGAGGCUGAGCUUAGAGAGGCAGGCUUUGGUUACAGGGCUAAAUACAUAAUUGGCGCUGUGAAUGCACUAAAAGCAAAACCUGUUGGAGGUGCAGAAUGGCUUCUGUCCCUUCGUGAUUCGGAUCUUGAAGAGGUGAUCGAAGCCCUUUCUACUUUACCGGGCGUGGGUCCAAAGGUAGCAGCUUGUGUUGCCCUCUUCUCUCUCGACCAGCACCACGCCAUUCCUGUUGACACACAUGUCUGGCAGAUUGCUACAAGGUACCUUGUUCCUGAGCUUGCUGGUGCACGCCUAACACCAAAGCUUUGCAAUCGUGUGGCUGAGGCAUUUGUCAGCAAGUAUGGAAAAUAUGCUGGAUGGGCUCAAACUCUACUUUUCAUCGCUGAGUUGCCUCAACAGAAGGCCCUUUUACCAGCAAAUCUUGAGAAUACCAAAAGGAAAAGAUCUACAAAGCAGCAGAAAGAUAUGGCGCAUGCUGGUAACAUAGACCAAUGUGAAUAGCUAUAUUUAGUUGGUCCCAGGUUUUCGAGGUUGAGGUAAAUCCUGAUUUCUCUUGUAGAGCAAGAUUCAAAGGUUUGUUCAAAGAUCAAAGAUGAAGAUGCGAGAGGUUUGUUCAAAGUACAAAUUACUGGUAAAUGUGGGAUACCGAAUGAUGAUUGAUGUGAUUAAUGCUAAGCUUUGCUUGCUUCUGAACGAGUAAAGUUUUCGAUAGGAAUAUAGUACUUAAAUAUUUUGGUUUGCUUUGGCUUGAUGGUGUUUCCUCCUUAAGGAAGAACGCAGAAUUUAUUCACCACUUUUGGGGAAGUCUCACAUUCCAUUCCUUUGCAGCAUUUCAAUUGUAAUAUGUUAGGAAAGUUCAGUUGCGAAAAAAAUUGAUUUUCUGUAACAAGAGAACUGUGGUUGCAUUUUAUUGUAGAGACUUGACAUGAAUCAAUUAAUAAUUGAAGUAUUGUGUAAAUGUUUCUAGGACAUCAAAAAGAAUGAAAUAAGCUGUGGUAAGGGAGAAGAUUAUUGCUAAAGCUAUUUAUAUAUUGAAAGCUACUGUGAAUUAUCAUGCCAUCUACUUCAUGCUAGGCGUAUUUGAUCAUUUAUGUGCAUUGUGCAUCGACCAACAAUGUUUUCGUGACAUGUGGACAUGGAUCGCCUCGAAAGUUCAGAUUUGAGAUUGGAAUCGAGCAUUUGGCCCUCCCUAGACAUGCCUGAAACAUCACAAUGCAAUUUUCAUGAAAAAACUCACAUGUUCUACAAUGGCUCUGGAGUUUGGCGAGUGACACAGUCCAAUAGCAUAGCUUUGACAAUCACCAGAUGGGGUACCAAAGCUUGCAAAUAAGAUGUUGGAGAUUUUCUUUUUACUAGGGCAGCUUAAUUGGACCUUAGGCCUUCUGGUUCUGUUCUUCACUCUUCUUACCUUUUGUUUCUUUGCACCCAUCCACGAAGCUACUAAAGGAUAAUGUGAUUCAGACACUUGCCCACAUGUUUUGGUAAUCAAAACGGAAUCCAAAGAUAUCUCAACUGGGUUUCCUGUUUCUUCUUCAAGAAUAACUAACUGGUUGUCAGUUGGCUUAAGGAAGGAACGUGGUACAUUAUACCUGGAUUGAAGGAGAGACAGAAUUGUAUAAAGAUGCAGGAAACUAGUGGAAGGAAAUAUGAGACAUAAAGUAUGAUAUAACACUAAAUAUCAAGGUGAGUAAACCAUUUACCAUUUCUGUGAAGGCUCUCCUUUUGGGGUGAGGAACGAGACCCAGUACCGACCAAUGCCCCGGCCAUUAACCCAAACUGCACCCUUCCCCAUGGAACCAAGGUUCAGUGCAAUUGGAUCAUCACCAGGAGGUGCAUCAAACUGAGUCUGCCCGAUUAGCAAUGAAUGACAAUGACAAAGGUCAGUUAAUGAACAUUUGAAUUCAAGAUAGUUGCUAUUGAUUAUUGGUAGUACCUUGUACCAUGUGAGCGGCUGAGAAGAGUUUCCUAACCUGCUCCACUGAACAUUGCUUGACCCAGUGUCUAAAAAUAUUUGGGAUUGCUCUCCUGAUAGGCCAACCUUUGCAAAAAUAUUAACAAGAGGUUAGUUUUAAGUAUGUGCUUGCGGAUGUGUACUCUUUUGUGCAUAUUACAUCAGAUUCAAGUGUAUAUGAACUCAUAUUAGGAGUUUAAAAGUUAAUGAACCUUGUAUCCCCAAUGUUGUUCUGAGAAAUCCUCGCCUUGAAUUCCCACUCUUCGCAGUCCAGCAACUCUGGUCUCAAGAAAUGCUCCAGAAUCCUUUUCGCAUUAAAACUAUCAGAAUUCACUAAGCGUACAGCGUUAAGACAUAUCAACUAUGGAAGGGAAGAUUAAAAGAUUCGUACCGGUAACCCAACCAUUACACUGAGCAAUGAGAUAUUGUUGAUGCCAUUUCUCAAUGUAAUAUUUUUCGCCAAAGAGAAACCUUUUUCUUUGUAAAUUCCAUGGGCGGAGCCUAUAAAACAUCAACUUUUAAA